AAUUCUCAAAACCCUUUUUCUUUUCGAGGAAGGGUUUUGGAUUUGGAGGCCUUUUGCCGGUUUCAAGUUGAAGCCGGCUCCUCCUAAAUGAAUUAGUGGGGUUUGCAUUGUCGAUCCUUGACGUGAUAAGAUGUUUCUGCGUCUUGGGUUUGGCACUGUUGCCCGCUUCUAACCGUCUCAUUGACAACGAUGGUGCUCCGGUCGCCGCCUCUCCGUAGGUGGUUGGCUUGACCCACGACAAAA
RNAcentral lists this unclassified non-coding RNA (243 nucleotides) under uncultured Russula. RNAcentral's name for it is "sequence contains ITS2". The record is from RNAcentral. Lineage: Eukaryota; Fungi; Basidiomycota; Agaricomycetes; Russulales; Russulaceae.